GAUGAACGCUGGCGGCGUGCCUAAUACAUGCAAGUCGAGCGAACAGACGAGGAGCUUGCUCCUCUGACGUUAGCGGCGGACGGGUGUGUAACACGUGGAUAACCUACCUAUCAGACUGGUAUCACCUCGGGAAACCGGCGCUAAUACCGGAUAAUAUAUUGAACCGCAUUGUUCAAUAGUGAAAUACGGUUUUGCUGUCACUUAUAGCUGGAUCCGCGCCGCAUUAGCUAGUUGGUAAGGUCACGGCUUACCAAGGCAACGAUGCGUAGCCGACCUGAGAGAGGGAUCGGCCACACUGGAGCUGAGACACGGUCCAGACGCCUGAGGGAGGCAGCAGUAGGGAAUCUUCCGCAGUGGGCGAGAGCAUGACGGAGCAGCGCCGCGUGAGAGAUGAAGGUCUUGGGAGCGUAAAACUCUGUUAUGAGGGAAAAACAAAUGUGGAAGGAGCUAUGCACGGCGUGACGGUACCGGAUCAGAAAGCCACGGCUAACUACGUG
Molecule: ribosomal RNA, 497 nt
Filed under: uncultured bacterium
Lineage: Bacteria
Description: partial 16S ribosomal RNA
Rfam family: Bacterial small subunit ribosomal RNA
Source: RNAcentral